Molecule: ribosomal RNA, 254 nt
Filed under: uncultured bacterium
Lineage: Bacteria
Description: partial 16S ribosomal RNA
Rfam family: Bacterial small subunit ribosomal RNA
Source: RNAcentral
UACGAAGGGGGCUAGCGUUGUUCGGAAUCACUGGGCGUAAAGCGCACGUAGGCGGAUCGUUAAGUCGGGGGUGAAAUCCCGAGGCUCAACCUCGGAACUGCCUUCGAUACUGGCGAUCUUUGAGUCCGGGAGAGGUGAGUGGAACUCCGAGUGUAGAGGUGAAAUUCGUAGAUAUUCGGAAGAACACCAGUGGCGAAGGCGGCUCACUGGUCCGGUACUGACGCUGAGGUGCGAAAGCGUGGGGAGCAAACAGG